This is a long non-coding RNA of Poecilia latipinna (sailfin molly), 149 nucleotides long. RefSeq lists it as uncharacterized. NCBI's taxonomy places the organism in Eukaryota, Metazoa, Chordata, Actinopteri, Cyprinodontiformes, Poeciliidae. The record is from RefSeq and is a predicted model, not a curated record. The transcript is spliced from 3 exons.
CAGAAUGUUUAUCAAUGUUUCAUUUAUAACGUUUCCAAAGCAACUCUAACCAGGUGUGUUUUAAGUCUGGAUUUGAAGGAACUCAGCGUUUCAGCUGUUUUGCAGUUUUCAGGAAGUUUGUUCCAGAUUUGUGGUGAAUAGAAGCUGAA